GGAUAUAAGGGCAAUCUGACUACAAUCAACAAGAGUGACUAGGUGGGUGUCUUCCUCCUCCCUCACUUGUCCAUGUGCUUCCCUCCUGAAGCUGAGUGCUCAGUGGAAGAGAGUGGCUUUCAUUAGUCAAAGACACACACGUUGCUGCGCUUCCCCACUAGUAUCUCCAGACAAGUUCUCAAUUGUUUCACUGAAGGAGAUAAGUCAGGUAAGCUUACUGGUGAUGAUAACGAUGUAAUAGGACACACUCAUGGGGAGCUUGGGUU
Erinaceus europaeus (western European hedgehog) is the source of this 266-nucleotide unclassified non-coding RNA. Its record names the gene 7SK. It matches the Rfam family "7SK RNA". From Rfam's summary of the family: 7SK was discovered as an abundant small nuclear RNA in the mid-70s but a possible function has only recently been suggested. Two independent studies have found that 7SK RNA binds the CDK9/cyclin T complex (known as elongation factor P-TEFb). P-TEFb activates transcription by phosphorylating the C-terminal domain of RNA polymerase II. Lineage: Eukaryota; Metazoa; Chordata; Mammalia; Eulipotyphla; Erinaceidae. The record is from Ensembl.